AGUGAACGCUGGCGGUAGGCCUAACACAUGCAAGUCGAACGGCAGCACAGUAAGAGCUUGCUCUUACGGGUGGCGAGUGGCGGACGGGUGAGGAAUACAUCGGAAUCUACUUUUUCGUGGGGGAUAACGUAGGGAAACUUACGCUAAUACCGCAUACGACCUACGGGUGAAAGCAGGGGAUCUUCGGACCUUGCGCGAUUGAAUGAGCCGAUGUCGGAUUAGCUAGUUGGCGGGGUAAAGGCCCACCAAGGCGACGAUCCGUAGCUGGUCUGAGAGGAUGGUCAGCCACACUGGAACUGAGACACGGUCCAGACUCCUACGGGAGGCAGCAGUGGGGAAUAUUGGACAAAGGGCGCAAGCCUGAUCCAGCCAUACCGCGUGGGUGAAGAAGGCCUUCGGGUUGUAAAGCCCUUUUGUUGGGAAAGAAAAGCAGCAGGUUAAUACCCCGCUGUUCUGACGGUACCUAAAGAAUAAGCACCGGCUAACUUCGUG
RNAcentral lists this ribosomal RNA (492 nucleotides) under uncultured bacterium. RNAcentral describes it as "partial 16S ribosomal RNA". It matches the Rfam family "Bacterial small subunit ribosomal RNA", at positions 29 to 507 of the family's 1533-position model. The record is from RNAcentral.